CGAACCGAGUAGUGAAAACCGGACUCUGGCGAGAGAUUGAAACGCAACUUGGUUUCUCGGAGAAAGAGCUGAGGAAGAAGUGGGAUUCUCUGCGAACCCAGUACACCCGGUACAGGAGACUUGCCCCUUCGGGUAGCUGUGGAGCACCAAGGACUGGCAGACAGCAGUGGAUCAUAACCAGGCUGCAGUUUGCACACGCUAUUUGUUUUUGUUUAUAUCACGCAGUCUGUUCUUCUUCUCUGUCUUCCGGUUGUUGCCUAUUUUUAAUGACGAAUACACACUACCGCCGCCUGCUGGUAAGGAGAGUUAUUGCCACUCACGCACUGAAGUCUUUGCGGUGUGUUCCCGUGCGACACAUGGCCAAGACGCAGGAGAACACGGCGACGCAACAGUCGGCGUCGGCGAGUCCUCUGGUGACUGCUUGGUGUGUCAGGGCCUUAACAUGCAUCUAUAACCCACAAUCCUCUAAUUUGCCCAAAUAGUUUGAACGACACAUGAUCUCCAAAUGCUUUCAGUCCAUUGAUUCACAUGUUGCAGCUACAGGCCUCGGCUUUGAAUCCCACUUUGGCUUCCGCCUCAUUCCCCAUGCAAGAUGCAUAUGCAGAUUGCACAUGAGCCCUUGUGAAAAUAAAGGCACUUGUGGUGAGGGGGUCUGAAAAGUCUCCUGAAGUGGUAGACUCUGCGGCCUAAUUAACAUGCCAUAGGUGUUAAUUGGCAGCUGGCAGCAGUCAGAGCAUGCAGCAGGUGAGCACCAGCGCUCGUUGAACUCAGUUGCACUGAAUGGCACGAGGAGUCACUGGAGGUUUAUACGGCAGAGAUUUGCAAAUCAAUGCUCACGGCUGGAGGUUAAUUUGGAUGUGGAGAAGUCUGACAUCAUGUUUCCAACCUCAUUCAGGAGGUUAAAUCACCAUUUUCCCUGCUUUUUUGUUUUGUGCCCAUAGAAUUGGAUUAUAUUAGAAUCUGAUCAUUUUACUACAGUGGUGUGUGAGAGCUUUUUUCUCAUUUAGAAAAUCAAUGUUUAAUAAGGCAUGUUGGUGUUGAUAGCUUCAUAAUUUAAGUUAUUUUGAACGUUAUCACUUUAAAGUCACUUGUCAGUAAAAGGUGAUAAUUUGUUCCCAGCAAAGUGAAGCCUCCUGCCUGACAGAGGAUUAGCAGACUCCCAUUAAUAAUGGUAGGUAAUAAGAAAUGCAUGUGGAUUAUUGAAAAUGCUUCAGAUAAUCCAGCUGUUAUUAAAUCCAUUAAACACACAGGUUCCCAUAUUAACCUAAUUACUUUUAUAAUACGAAAUUGUACUGAGCCUCAAAUGCAUUGUUUUUUUUUCAGGUGACUAUUAAUUUAGCUAAACUAGACUUAAAGGCAUUGUUUAUCAUUCAAUGUAACUGAUUUAAAAGAGUAAUUUCCCAUAAAGAAUGAGCAAAUGCUUCAAAAUUAAAACAUUGUGUCCUUUCAAAAUUAAAUCAUUUUUUCAAAUAAAAAA
This is a long non-coding RNA of Gymnodraco acuticeps, 1477 nucleotides long. RefSeq lists it as uncharacterized. The record is from RefSeq and is a predicted model, not a curated record. The transcript is spliced from 2 exons. NCBI's taxonomy places the organism in Eukaryota, Metazoa, Chordata, Actinopteri, Perciformes, Bathydraconidae.